This 254-nucleotide ribosomal RNA is filed under the name uncultured bacterium. RNAcentral's name for it is "partial 16S ribosomal RNA". It matches the Rfam family "Bacterial small subunit ribosomal RNA", at positions 524 to 776 of the family's 1533-position model. The record is from RNAcentral.
GACAGAGGUCCCGAGCGUUAGGCGGAAUCACUGGGCUUAAAGCGUGUGUAGGCGGAUCGUUAAGUACCUUGUGAAAUCCCUCGGCUUAACCGGGGAACUGCGUCUGAUACUGGAUGGCUUGAGUUUGGGAGAGGGAUGCGGAAUUCCAGGUGUAGCGGUGAAAUGCGUAGAUAUCUGGAGGAACACCGGUGGCGAAGGCGGCAUCCUGGACCAACACUGACGCUGAGUGAGCGAAAGCCAGGGGAGCAAACGGG